AUGGACUUCUCCAGCUCUGAGCCACCUGUUUCCAUUUUUCCCCACAGGGGACAUCCAGCAGUGCCUGAGGACAAUUCUGAUUGGGCAUCAAUGAUGGGGAAAUAAAGAAAAAAGAAUGACAAAGAGGAGAAACUGGAAAGCAAACUGUUAACAGCAAGGCUUCUGUAAGACUUCAUGGAAGCUGAUGGAGAUUUACAUCAUCAGCUACCCUGUUCUCAGGACUUUGGACUUAGACUGAAUUACGACACAGCUUUUCCUGGGUCUCCAGCCUGCAGACAGUACCAUCCUAGGACUUCUCAGCCUCCAAAAUGGAUGGUGUGAGUCAAUUCCUCAUAAUAAACCUCACUAGAUAAGUACCUAGAGAUGGAGCUCUCUCAUACUGGUUCCGUUUCUCUCAAGAACCCUGACUAAUAAACCAAAUGUCACCAGGAAGACAUACCUCCACACCCAAUGAAUACGGUGGCAAAGGAAAGCAAUGUCACUACACUGUACCCUCAGAAGCCAGGGGGCCUAACUGGCCUGCCCACUACUGGUGGAAC
Odocoileus virginianus texanus is the source of this 539-nucleotide non-coding RNA. The record is from RefSeq and is a predicted model, not a curated record. NCBI's taxonomy places the organism in Eukaryota, Metazoa, Chordata, Mammalia, Artiodactyla, Cervidae.